Molecule: ribosomal RNA, 409 nt
Filed under: bacterium
Lineage: Bacteria
Description: partial 16S ribosomal RNA
Rfam family: Bacterial small subunit ribosomal RNA
Source: RNAcentral
UGGGGAAUAUUGCACAAUGGGCGAAAGCCUGAUGCAGCGACGCUGCGUGAGGGAUGACGGCCUUCGGGUUGUAAACCUCUUUCAGCAGGGACGAAGCGCAAGUGACGGUACCUGCAGAAGAAGCACCGGCUAACUACGUGCCAGCAGCCGCGGUAAUACGUAGGGUGCAAGCGUUGUCCGGAAUUACCGGGCGUAAAGAGUUCGUAGGCGGGUUGUCGCGUCGUUUGGGAAAACCAGCAGCUCAACUGCUGGCUUGCAGGCGAUACGGGCAGACUUGAGUACUGAAGGGGGGACUGGCAUUCCUGGUGUAGCGGUGAUAUGCGCAGAUAUCAGGAGGAACACCGGUGGCGAAGGCGGGUCUCUGGGCAGUAACUGACGCUGAGGAACGAAAGCGUGGGUAGCGAACAGG